Molecule: ribosomal RNA, 253 nt
Filed under: uncultured bacterium
Lineage: Bacteria
Description: partial 16S ribosomal RNA
Rfam family: Bacterial small subunit ribosomal RNA
Source: RNAcentral
UACGUAGGGUGCGAGCGUUAAUCGGAAUUACUGGGCGUAAAGUGUGCGCAGGCGGCAGAGCAAGUCGAGUGUGAAAGCCCCGGGCUUAACUUGGGAAUUGCGCUCGAAACUACUUUGCUGGAGUGUGGCAGAGGAAGGUGGAAUUCCACGUGUAGCGGUGAAAUGCGUAGAGAUGUGGAGGAACACCAAUGGCGAAGGCAGCCUUCUGGGCCAACACUGACGCUCAGGCACGAAAGCGUGGGGAGCAAACAGG